CGGUAAUACGUAGGAGGCGAGCGUUAUCCGGAUUUACUGGGUGUAAAGCGCGUGCAGGCGGUUGGAUAAGUUGGGUGUGAAGGCUCCUGGCUCAACUGGGAGAGGUUGCUCAAGACUGUUCGACUAGAGCGUGGUAGGGGAAGGCGGAAUUCCGGGUGUAGUGGUGAAAUGCGUAGAUAUCCGGAGGAACACCAGUGGCGAAAGCGGCCUUCUAGACCAUGACUGACGCUCAGACGCGAAAGCUAGGGGAGCAAACGGGAUUAGAGACCCCGGUAGUCCUAGCCGUAAACGAUGUGAACUUGGCGGCGGGUGGGUAAAACUACUCGGUGCCGAAGCAAACGCGAUAAGUUCACCACCUGGGGACUACGGCCGCAAGGUUAAA
Molecule: ribosomal RNA, 382 nt
Filed under: uncultured bacterium
Lineage: Bacteria
Description: bacterial SSU rRNA
Rfam family: Bacterial small subunit ribosomal RNA
Source: RNAcentral